AGUGAACGCUGGCGGUAGGCCUAACACAUGCAAGUCGAACGGCAGCACAGUAAGAGCUUGCUCUUACGGGUGGCGAGUGGCGGACGGGUGAGGAAUACAUCGGAAUCUACUUUUUCGUGGGGGAUAACGUAGGGAAACUUACGCUAAUACCGCAUACGACCUACGGGUGAAAGCAGGGGAUCUUCGGACCUUGCGCGAUUGAAUGAGCCGAUGUCGGAUUAGCUAGUUGGCGGGGUAAAGGCCCACCAAGGCGACGAUCCGUAGCUGGUCUGAGAGGAUGAUCAGCCACACUGGAACUGGGACACGGUCCAGACCCCUAGGGGGGGCAGCGGUGGGGAAUAUUGGACAAUGGGCGCAAGCCUGAUCCAGCCAUACGGCGGGGGUGAAGAAGGCCUUCGGGUGGUAAAGCCUUUUUGUUGGGAAAAAAAAGCAGCAGGUUAAUACCCCGCUGUUCGGACGGUACCCAAAGAAUAAGCACGGGCAAACUUCGU
This 491-nucleotide ribosomal RNA is filed under the name uncultured bacterium. RNAcentral describes it as "partial 16S ribosomal RNA". It matches the Rfam family "Bacterial small subunit ribosomal RNA", at positions 29 to 506 of the family's 1533-position model. The record is from RNAcentral.